AAAACAACAGAGGGAAGAUCAUGAGUUCUAUUCCAGGACCAUACAUAAGAGAGGUUCCAUAAAAACAGAGGGAAGAUCAGGAGUUCUAUUCCAGGACCAUACAUAAGAGAGGUUCCAUAAAAACAGAGGGAAGAUCAGGAGUUCUAUUCCAGGACCAUACAUAAGAGAGGUUCCAUAAAAACAGAGGGAAGAUCAGGAGUUCUAUUCCAGGACCAUACAUAGGAGAGGUUCCAGAAAAACAGAGGGAAGAUCAGGGGUCAUAUUCCAG
Molecule: non-coding RNA, 268 nt
Organism: Pelobates cultripes (western spadefoot toad)
Lineage: Eukaryota; Metazoa; Chordata; Amphibia; Anura; Pelobatidae
Source: the annotation of a GenBank genome assembly